GACGAACGCUGGCGGCGUGCCUAACACAUGCAAGUCGAACGGAAAGGCCCUGCUUUCGUCUGGUGCUCGAGUGGCGAACGGGUGUGUUACACGUGAGUAACCUGCCCUUGACUUUGGGAUAACUUCAGGCAACUGGGGCUAAUACCUGAUACGAGCUCCUGCUGCAUGGUGGGGGUUGGAGAGUUUCGGCGGUUGGGGAUGGACUCGCGGCUUAUCAGCUUGUUGGUGGGGUAGUGGCGUACCAAGGCUUUGACGGGUAGCCGGCCUGGGAGGGUGACCGGGCACAUUAGGACUGAGGUACGGCCCAGAGUCCUACGGGAGGCAGCAGUGGGGAAUCUUGCACAAUGGGCGCAAGCCUGAUGCAGAAACGCCGCGUGCGGGAUGACGGCCUUCGGGUUGUAAACCGCAUUAACCUGUGACGAAGCGUGAGUGACGGUAAUGAGUAAAGAAGCACCGGCUAACUACGUG
Molecule: ribosomal RNA, 468 nt
Filed under: uncultured bacterium
Lineage: Bacteria
Description: partial 16S ribosomal RNA
Rfam family: Bacterial small subunit ribosomal RNA
Source: RNAcentral